This 433-nucleotide unclassified non-coding RNA is filed under the name Hevea brasiliensis (rubber tree). Lineage: Eukaryota; Viridiplantae; Streptophyta; Magnoliopsida; Malpighiales; Euphorbiaceae. The record is from RNAcentral.
AGUUCAAGGAAACAGUUCAUAAGUAAGUUUGUUUCACAUUUUAUUGUUUCAAUUCAUUAAAUGGUUCUGUUUGGAAGCUGAGCAACUCAUACUAAACAAAUCAGAAGCUGAUUUUUGCAAGAAGAGUGCAAAACUCGAUGAAGCUCGCCCAAAUUUUCUAUAAGGGCUAGUUAACGUAGGGGCUGUUUGAUUUGGUUUUACUUAAAUGGAAAAUUCAUUGAUUUUGAAAGCUAAAAUUGGAUCAUUCAUGGCUAUUCAAAGCUGGAUAAAAGUUGUCCAUAAUGUUUAGUACAUGGUACUUUAGUUUUGGUUUUAUCUCCUGAGUUUCAGCUUCCAAAUGGGGCAUAAGGAAAUUGAACUUAUGCAGAUUGCUAAUACAAUGCCCUGUUUUUACUUCUCUGUUUGUUAUCAUUUACUGUAUUUUAAGGUUAGA